UACAGAGGGUGCAAGCGUUGUUCGGAAUUAUUGGGCGUAAAGGGCGCGUAGGCGGUGCUGUAAGUCUGUAGUGAAAUCUCUGGGCUCAACUCAGAGUCUGCUAUAGAAACUGCAGUGCUAGAGUGUGGGAGAGGUGAGUGGAAUUCCUGGUGUAGCGGUGAAAUGCGUAGAUAUCGGGAGGAACACCUGUGGCGAAAGCGGCUCACUGGACCACAACUGACGCUGAGGCGCGAAAGCGUGGGGAGCGAACAGG
This 253-nucleotide ribosomal RNA is filed under the name uncultured bacterium. RNAcentral's name for it is "partial 16S ribosomal RNA". It matches the Rfam family "Bacterial small subunit ribosomal RNA", at positions 524 to 776 of the family's 1533-position model. The record is from RNAcentral.